Long non-coding RNA from Parus major (Great Tit), 2991 nucleotides. RefSeq lists it as uncharacterized. The record is from RefSeq and is a predicted model, not a curated record. The transcript is spliced from 2 exons. NCBI's taxonomy places the organism in Eukaryota, Metazoa, Chordata, Aves, Passeriformes, Paridae.
UUGUGCGCUGUUCCCUUUGAUUGUCUCGCAGUUACGUGUCGUUUUGCUUCCAUUUGUUUUGAAGCAUUUGUAGUUUUGCGGUGUCAUUUUAUGCCUCCCCUCCCCGGCGGUUCGGCAUCCCUCCCGAGCUGACGGCGCCUCUCCGGGUCGCUUGAGCUCCGCUGCAGCGGGUGCUCGGGGACGGGCAAGGCCGUGGGGCUGGAGGGACAAUUUCCAGUGAAACCUGGGGACUAGGAGGAAGAUGUGCUGCCGGGUCUGCUACUCUGGGCAGCGACUGUGUGGUUGUCACGCUGCUUAGGUUGUCUUAAAGGGUUGUCUUUGUCACCUGAGAGUCUCCUGUGAAUCAGGUAUCAGCUCAGCAAAGUCACCUGGAAAAGGCUACACCAGCACCGUUUUGUCCUGCAUGUAUAGAAUAUUGUCGAGCUAAAAUCUGGCAACCCACAAAGAAAUAUUUAGGUUUCUUUUAGGGCUAUUGAGCCUUUUAUUUUGGAACACUUUAUAACAAAAGCUUGGUUGCUUUUGUCUUUUCCUUCCACCAGUUGCCACCUCUUCGCUUAUUAAAGAUAAGAGAGAAUGAGACAUCUGCCACCUCCAUUGGAAUAGGUUGAAUACUUAAAAAUAUUCCUUAUACCACUCAGAACACUCAGAAGUGGAUGGGGCCGGGAGCAGAGGGGAAGGCAGGAUGCUGAUAAGGUUUCAUUUGGCAGCUGCUCAGCCUCCUGGACACUUCCACCUGUUUUCUGUCCUGCAUCAGGGGCAUCAAGAGCAGUGCAGUAAUGAGUGCUGCUAAUAAUACACAGCUAUGUGAAGAGAGAGGUGCUGAGGGCCAUCGAAGUAUCCGGAGUAUCCAUCCAAGUACUCGAGGGCCAUCUCAAGGGGUUGGAAAUGUCAGCCUGCAGGCACUCCUUGACCAGGUAGCUUCUGAGCCUGACAUACUUCAGCUCCCACUUCCUCUGAAUGUGUGUAAAUUCACAGAGGAGGCCAGGGGCUGGCAGAGGAAUUUCAAUCCUCACCUUUCCUGUGCACAGCAAGCACAACAUUCAGACGAUCAUUCGGAGGCCUCUUUGUAGCUCUGGCUCAGGGUUCCAGAGGACACCUCUGUGCCUGUGCCCCUUCACAUCUAAAUCCGAGGUUGUCUAAACCUUCUGUCGGUGGCGCAGCAGCACGAUGGAUUUGAGCAGAUCUAGAUAGACUGCCUAGACUGAGCUGGGAGCAGCUCUUGUCUCCGGCAAACCACAGUGAACCUGCACAUUCGGAAGGUAUUUAAUUCGUCGUCAGCCUCGGGGAGGGAUGCUGAGGUCCCAGCUUGGUGUGCCGGCAGGAGCGCUGCAGCCCGGCGCCGGCAGUGAGGAGCUGUCUGCAUCUUUUUUCCACUUAGAAUCGGGCUCCAUCUAGUGAUCCUCUCCCAGAGGAGGCUUUUUGUGCCGGCUGAGCAGCCAUUUGUAUCUGCGGCUCAGGGAAGCCCCGCUCAGAGCUGUGCAGAGCAAACAUCCCCGCAGAAUCUCCCAGCACUGGUUUUCCAGCCGCACUCACCGGACCCGAGCCGCUCUGCUCACGGUGCUGCAGGACCCGGGGAGAUGAGCAUUGUCUCGAAAUAGCUGAGGAUGUGCACAUAAAUGAAAGGAGCUUGAAUUUGCACUAGAAACUUCUUUAGGAGAUCAUAUUAAAAAAAAUAAUAAUAAAAAAAAUCAGGCUAAUCCCUGGGCUGUUUUAACUGAGAAAUCAGUGAUCUGGUUGAAGUCAGGAGCACUCAGCAGUGUGAACGUUGUGUUCACUGGCACUCCUCGGGCACAGGGCAAUGCCCCAAGAGGGGAAGAGCACACUGUGCCCGAGGAGUGCCAGUGUCCCAAGCCCUGCAAUCAAUAUAAAUUGCAGCCAUUCACACUAAUUAGUUGUUUAAACACAGUUUAUAUUCAUAUAAACGGUUUUCCGGAGUACUGUCUUGAAUAAUAAAGACAUUACAGAGGCAGUAGAAACAGUAUUGAGUGAUAUAAUUGAAUGCUAGGCUUCAGUUAUGAAAGGUAUCAAAGAAAGCUCAAAGCUCGCAAUAAAGUCAGGGAAGAAAAUCCAGAGUGAGGCAGUUAGUCCCUCACGAAAGUUCACUGACACAAGAGCACCAUCUGCUGCUAAAUGUGUGCUUGGGAAAACCGGUGGCCAGAGUCCCUUCCCACUGCGGGUGUUACACAGCUUCUGCUGGGCAUUUGGACAUUCCUGUGAUCUUGUAGAGUUGGUGUAAAUGAAAAGUGUCAUCCAGAAUCGAAACUCUUGAGAGGCGUCUGUGUGCUCGGGGACUGCAUCUACCUUAACCAGUAGCUUGAAAGACUGAAAAUAAGUCACCCUUUGGUUGCUGCCUGGCCCUUACCCUGAGGAACGCUCUGAGUGACCCAGCAUUACCAAUAACAAGCAACUGUUCUUUGUUUAGAGGGGCCAGCUCGUUAUUCGAGUAGGACACACCAAUUUCUGUAAUUAACAACAGGUGGUUCAUUUAAUGUUGUGGUUUUGAUUUCCCAACCUUGUGAGUAACAAUGAAGGAGUCUCCAGGGUGUGGGAUGUGCCAUGGAUACAGGGACAUCUGAGCUGGCUCCAUGAGAAGUGGGAUGUGCAGAAAGGAAUGGGUUUCAUUUCAACCUGUGAAAAAAUAACCUGGGUUAUUAUAAGGAGCUCAGCAUAUUUGUUGUCCCAAGGCUUGUGGCACAUGGUGACCUAGAAGUCACACCAAGGCAGUAUGGCAUCUGUUAGGAGUUUUGCUGCUUGAUUUGAAUGCUGCAAAAAUUGUAUUCCUGAGUGGUCUGGAAGGCCACCCCACAACUACGAGGCAAUGCUGUCAUACCCAUUAGUUCAUUAGUUGCAGGAUGUUUCAAUGAAAGAGAUUAAUUUCUUCUGCUCUACUGCAGCAUAAAAUGAAGCACCAUCUCCUGUAGACAGAUUAGAAAGGUUUUUAUGAUUUUGAUUUAUGAUUCUUCUGUUAAAAAAAAAAAAAAAAAAAAAAAA